RNAcentral lists this ribosomal RNA (525 nucleotides) under uncultured bacterium. RNAcentral describes it as "bacterial SSU rRNA". It matches the Rfam family "Bacterial small subunit ribosomal RNA", at positions 984 to 1509 of the family's 1533-position model. The record is from RNAcentral.
ACAUCCAGAGAACUUAGCAGAGAUGCUUUGGUGCCUUCGGGAACUCUGAGACAGGUGCUGCAUGGCUGUCGUCAGCUCGUGUUGUGAAAUGUUGGGUUAAGUCCCGNAACGAGCGCAACCCUUAUCCUUUGUUGCCAGCGGUUCGGCCGGGAACUCAAAGGAGACUGCCGGUGAUAAACCGGAGGAAGGUGGGGAUGACGUCAAGUCAUCAUGGCCCUUACGGCCAGGGCUACACACGUGCUACAAUGGCGCAUACAAAGAGAAGCGACCUCGCGAGAGCAAGCGGACCUCAUAAAGUGCGUCGUAGUCCGGAUUGGAGUCUGCAACUCGACUCCAUGAAGUCGGAAUCGCUAAUAAUCGUAGAUCAGAAUGCUACGGUGAAUACGUUCCCGGGCCUUGUACACACCGCCCGUCACACCAUGGGAGUGGGUUGCAAAAGAAGUAGGUAGCUUAACCUUCGGGAGGGCGCUUACCACUUUGUGAUUCAUGACUGGGGUGAAGUCGUAACAAGGUAGGCGUAGCGAG